Molecule: long non-coding RNA, 367 nt
Filed under: Brassica napus (rape)
Lineage: Eukaryota; Viridiplantae; Streptophyta; Magnoliopsida; Brassicales; Brassicaceae
Description: long non-coding RNA (BNAP_LNC026657)
Source: RNAcentral
UUUGAGUAUGUAAUAAAAGAAAUAAAGAAUUGAUGUAUGUAAUAGACUGACUUACCAAUCUAGGUAUAAACUGAAUUUUAGUAAAUGUUGAGGUAAGAAAAAACCGUUUUUUACUUAAUGUAAUCAUGUUACUUUCAACAUUUUGUAAGGAAAUCUAAGGAUGAUGCCCAGAAAAAGAAAAUCUAAUGAUUAUGAAAAAGCAUCGGAGGUUUGCAGUCAUGAUCCAAGUUUCUGUAAAUAUUAAUUAAUAGAAAAUAAAAUACUUUAUACUCCUUCUGUUUUUAAUAUAAAUCGUUUUAGAGAAAUUUUUAUGUUUUAAAUUAUACGACGUUUUCGGUUUUCGAUGUAAAAUUUAUUAACACUUAAU